RNAcentral lists this long non-coding RNA (393 nucleotides) under Helianthus annuus (common sunflower). RNAcentral's name for it is "hypothetical non coding rna". The record is from RNAcentral. Lineage: Eukaryota; Viridiplantae; Streptophyta; Magnoliopsida; Asterales; Asteraceae.
UAACACGAUAAACGUUAUCUGACCCUUUUUCGACCUUCGACUUUUAAAACCGGGUGGUGGGAAGAUCGGUAGUUUAGAAACUGGUAUAAGGACCGGAAGACACACUGCAGCGGUGAAGUUACGAAAACCAUUCUCGUUAACAAUAUCUGCAGGACACUUGCAUAGCAAAGGGAAAACCACUGGCUCACCAACUGUCAAAUUAGUUGGAUUUAAACUCGGGUUCAUAUCCUCAACCGCGUGAUAAUUGGUCAGAUUUUGAAACACAGACGUCGCGACAACAUAAAAGCUAUCACCCUUUUUAAUCGAAUGUGUAACAUUCGCGAAAUAACUAUUUUCGUUACAACUACAUUUAACGGGUUUGACAGGAGCGCGGCGAGUCAGCAGAACACGUAA